RNAcentral lists this ribosomal RNA (234 nucleotides) under uncultured bacterium. Its description in RNAcentral is "partial 16S ribosomal RNA". It matches the Rfam family "Bacterial small subunit ribosomal RNA", at positions 1164 to 1397 of the family's 1533-position model. The record is from RNAcentral.
CAGAGGAAGGUGGGGAUGACGUCAAGUCCUCAUGGCCCUUACGCCUAGGGCUACACACGUACUACAAUGGACGGCACAAAAGGACGCUAACCCGUGAGGCAGAGCUAAUCGGAAAAAACCAUCCUCAAUUCAGAUUGGAGUCUGCAACUCGACUCUAUGAAGCUGGAAUCGCUAGUAAUCGUGGAUCAGCAUGCCGCGGUGAAUACGUUCCCGGGCCUUGUACACACCGCCCGU